AUUGAACGCUGGCGGCAUGCCUUACACAUGCAAGUCGAACGGCAACAGGUCUUCGGAUGCUGACGAGUGGCGAACGGGUGAGUAAUACAUCGGAACGUGCCUAGUAGUGGGGGAUAACUACUCGAAAGAGUGGCUAAUACCGCAUGAGAUCUACGGAUGAAAGCAGGGGAUCGCAAGACCUUGUGCUACUAGAGCGGCCGAUGGCAGAUUAGGUAGUUGGUGGGAUAAAAGCUUACCAAGCCGACGAUCUGUAGCUGGUCUGAGAGGACGAUCAGCCACACUGGGACUGAGACACGGCCCAGACUCCUACGGGAGGCAGCAGUGGGGAAUUUUGGACAAUAGGCGCAAGCCUGAUCCAGCAAUGCCGCGUGCAGGAUGAAGGCCUUCGGGUUGUAAACUGCUUUUGUACGGAACGAAAAGCCCCGGGUUAAUACCCUGGGGUCAUGACGGUACCGUAAGAAUAAGCACCGGCUAACUACGUGCCAGCCGCCGCCGUAA
RNAcentral lists this ribosomal RNA (498 nucleotides) under uncultured bacterium. RNAcentral describes it as "partial 16S ribosomal RNA". It matches the Rfam family "Bacterial small subunit ribosomal RNA", at positions 30 to 523 of the family's 1533-position model. The record is from RNAcentral.